RNAcentral lists this long non-coding RNA (331 nucleotides) under Bos taurus (domestic cattle). RNAcentral describes it as "long non-coding RNA NONBTAT024610". The record is from RNAcentral. Lineage: Eukaryota; Metazoa; Chordata; Mammalia; Artiodactyla; Bovidae.
GUACUGCUUUUACUGUCUUAAAAAACAAAUGCAGGAAAGUUUACCUGUUAGUACUAAUUUUUGAAUAGCUUCCUUUUCCAUCACUAAAGAAGAGGGCCUUGUUAGUAACUGGCCUGCUCUCUCAUGUGGAGAAUGGAAGCCAUGUCAGUUGGAUAUGUCAGCCUCUGCUGUUUCUCUAAUUCCAGAUGGUACAUGAAUUUGUAUUUGAAAUUGAAUAGCUUUAUGCCUUUCCCAGCUUAGUAAUUCACCCCUUGGAAAAGAAAUAACCUCUCACUUAUAUUCCAUUUUUUCUUUUCCUUCCAAAUGCCAGUCUGUUAUUCAAAAGCCACUC